UUUGAAAGGCUGUAAAGUAGGAAAGGCUAAACUGGGGAGGAGGAAAACUUAGUAGAUAAAUUACAUAGACCUUGAGGUGAUUCUGUGCUCAAGAAGCAGAGACGUGGAGUCACUGAAUGAAAAUGAAAGAACAGGCAGUGUCUACGGUCAGAACUGAAAGGUUUUAGUUUACCUAGUUAAUUCCUUAGAUUUACAUCUUAGUUCCCUCCUUAUCUUGCAUGUGCAUAUAAACUUAGGCUUACUGAGCCAUUUUAUUUUUCUCCCCAAAUAAGACUAAUUUUAUAGGAGACAUAGGGGCCACUGCAGCAGCUUAGCUGAGGAACGUAUGAGAAACUGUUCAUUUUCUGUCCCCUCCUGUCUUAGGCUGAUCUGUCCCUUGAUGUGCUACCUGCUUCUGCUACCGACCCAUACUGCAGACUUCUCAUUCAUCCCCAAGGCCUCCAAGCAAUGUCCAAUAGGGAAUCGACUCUAAAAGGAACCAGACCAGACCAGACCAGACCAAAAAGGUGUGCAGCCCUUUCAUUGUGGUGAUUGAGGGAAGGAAAGAAUGGGAGGGGGUAUACAUGUGUAGUGGAUGGAAGGGAAACAGACUGUCAAAUUACUAUAUCUCUUCAGUUUCUUUUAGAAUAGAAUUCUGCAACCAUACUAUCACUACUGUGUAAAUAUAGG
Molecule: long non-coding RNA, 669 nt
Filed under: Lynx pardinus (Iberian lynx)
Lineage: Eukaryota; Metazoa; Chordata; Mammalia; Carnivora; Felidae
Source: RNAcentral